AAGGUCAGCUUCGGCUGAUACACGACCGGCGCACGGGUGAGUAACGCGUAUGCAACCUACCUGUAGCAGAGGGAUAGCCCGGAGAAAUUCGGAUUAAUACCUCAUAAUACUUAGAGAUCGCAUGAUUUUAUUUUAAAAUUCCGAUGGCUACAGAUGGGCAUGCGUGACAUUAGCUAGUUGGUGAGGUAACGGCUCACCAAGGCCACGAUGUCUAUGGGGUCUAAAAGGAUGGUCCCACACACUGGUACUGAGACACGGACCAGACUCCUACGGGAGGCAGCAGUGAGGAAUAUUGGUCAAUGGGCGCAAGCCUGAACCAGCCAUGCCGCGUGCAGGAUGACGGUCCUAUGGAUUGUAAACUGCUUUUCUGUUAGACGAAACCUCUCUACGUGUAGAGAGUUGCCGGUACAGCAGGAAUAAGCAUCGGCUAACUCCGUGCCAGCAGCCGCGGUAAUACGGAGGAUGCAGGCGUUAUCCGGAUUUAUUAGGUUUAAAGGGUGUGUAGGCGGGAUAAUAAGUCAGAGGUGAAAUCCAACAGCUUAACUGUUGAACUGCCUUUGAUACUGUUAUUCUUGAAUAUAGUUGAGGUUAGCGGAAUGUGUAAUGUAGCGGUGAAAUGCUUAGAUAUUACACAGAACACCGAUUGUGAAGGCAGCUAACUAAGCUAUUAUUGACGCUGAUGCACGAAAGCGUGGGGAGCGAACAGGAUUAGAUACCCUGGUAGUCCACGCUGUAAACGAUGAUUACUCGUUGUUGGCAAUACAUAGUCAGCGACUGAGCGAAAGCAUUAAGUAAUCCACCUGGGGAGUACGUUCGCAAGAAUGAAACUCAAAGGAAUUGACGGGGGCCCGCACAAGCGGAGGAACAUGUGGUUUAAUUCGAUGAUACGCGAGGAACCUUACCUGGGCUUAAAUGUAGAAUGACCGCUUCCGAAAGGGAGCUUUCUUCGGACAAUUUACAAGGUGCUGCAUGGCUGUCGUCAGCUCGUGCCGUGAGGUGUCGGGUUAAGUCCCAUAACGAGCGCAACCCCUAUCAUUAGUUGCCAGCGCGUAAAGGCGGGGACUCUAGUGAGACUGCCACCGUAAGGUGUGAGGAAGGUGGGGAUGACGUCAAGUCAGCACGGCCCUUACGUCCAGGGCUACACACGUGUUACAAUGGCCGACACAAAGGGCAGCUACCUGGCAACAGGAUGCUAAUCUCGAAAUUCGGUCUUAGUUCGGAUUGAAGUCUGCAACUCGACUUCAUGAAGUUGGAUUCGCUAGUAAUCGUAUAUCAGCAAUGAUACGGUGAAUACGUUCCCGGGCCUUGUACACACCGCCCGUCAAGCCAUGGAAGCCGGGGGUACCUGAAGUUCGUAACCGUAAGGAUCGGCCUAGGGUAAAACUGGUAACUGGGGCUAAGUCGGAACAAGGUA
RNAcentral lists this ribosomal RNA (1414 nucleotides) under metagenome. Its description in RNAcentral is "bacterial SSU rRNA". It matches the Rfam family "Bacterial small subunit ribosomal RNA". The record is from RNAcentral.